UUAAAAUAAUCUAAUUUAAUUUUGAAGUUUUCUUAGCAAUUUUUUAAAUCAUUACUUAUUACAUAUAUCGCAUAAAUGUAGCUUUUAAAAUAUACACUAACAGUUUCCCUUAUUUUAUACAUAUUAUUAUAUAUUUGGGUACCGUAGAAAUAGGAGGAUGGUAAAGUGCAUUCAAUUAAUAAUCUUAAUAGUGAAUAUCUGUUAUUUGUUUUGUGGCUCUUGGCUUUGGAUUUUGCUGUGUAAUCUAAAAAAUCUGAACUCGGAGUCGCUUAUUAGAUUUAUUUUAAUCAUAAUGAUAAUAAAGUGUAUUGAGUAAUACCACGUAACUUCUUUCAUUUCAAAUCGUUUAUCCUCCUAAGUCCCAGAAGUAGUCGCGUUGUUUUGGAAUUUGGAAAUUUGACUUGAUUAUAAAAAAAUAAAAAUAAAACCUGAAAAGCUUUGGAAAGGGCCUUUGGAACUGAAGGAGGAUAUAGUUCAAAAGCGGCCAAAAUCAAAUCGUCGGCUCGUUUACCCUGACUCUUUGUAAUAUUCUCUGCACUCCCUAAGUGCCCUAGAGUUAGACCAAGCUGAAUCUGCAGCGAAUUUAAUUGCACAGAACGCUUUGCGCUUUUGAAUUCGCUGCGAGUUAGCUUUUAUAUAUGUUAGCUUAUUCUAACCACUUCUAACUCUUACUCAUUUUCUCAUUUUAUACCGCCCUUGAAUAUUCCCGUGGCACGUCAAGAUGUUUUGCUUAUUUCUAUUGCCCGCUAGAUGUCGCUGUUAUGCCAAGGUAAGAGUGUUUAAAUUCACAAAUACUUUUACAGAUGCAAAAACUAAACGCAUUGCGAUUUUUUCUAAUUGUUUGACAUUUGCUGUCACAACAAUUAUCUAUUUCUUUCAUUUACACUAUUUUCUGUUGUGAAUUUUAUCACUAAGAAUUUAAACUAAAUAUUAAUAUGGAGGAUACAGCAGAAAUCGCUUUAAAAACACUGUGUUGCACAUGCUUAAGUAACGACAGAAAGUUGUCCCAACUUUGCCGAAUAAAUGAUGGAGUAAACAACCUAUAUUCGCUUCUCUCAUACGACUCGGAAGCUUACAGAGAAGGAUUCUACAAGGAAGCUGCAAGCCUAUUUAUUUGCUGGGAGUGUGCAGCAAUCAUGCGGAGGAUUGCCCGCUUUAGACGGCAGGCUUGUGUGGCGCAGAAACAGCUGUCAGUUAUAGCAGAGGGCCGGGAUAGUAUGUUGAAAACCAAAAAUUGCCUUUCCCGCCUUCUCCACUGUCACAAACAUACCUAUGACUUCACUAUAAUCUCUGACAUACAAGAAACUGACAAUUUCAUAGACUGCGGCCUGGAAAUCAAGACUGAAACUGACAUGGAUGACAUACCAUUGUCAGAAUUACAUGAUAACUGUAUGUCAGAUAAUGACUGCCCUAUUGAAGAUCGUGUGAAGGAAAUGAAGAAAAUCGAAGAAAAUGUUAAAGUUAAAACUACUAGAAAUAAAUUAAAUGAAUGUCGGGUGGAUAAAGUUACCAAUAAAAAAAGAAAAAGGUUAAAAAAGGAAGAUUAUUUUAAUUAUAAGGAUUAUUUUGUUACAAAAGGAAUUGGUGAACAGGAAAUGCUAGAGAAUAGGGAAAAAAGGAAAAUGGAGGAAAGUUUUGUUGCUGCGGCGUUCAAAUGUGAGUCUUGUGUGGAGACGUUUAAGAGUCAGAUUAGCCUGGACCGACACAAUGAGGAUUAUCAUGUGGAGAAACCCGAUCAUGUACAGUGCCUCAUCUGCCUAUGCUACAUAAAGAACGACAGUGCGGUCGCCCACAAGUCAGACCACUGCUCGCUGCACUCCUGCCUUCUCUGUGACCAGGUCUGCUACAGUGUGCAGGAAAUGAACAAGCAUUUGAAGGUUCAUAAGCAUGUGAAAAACAAAAAGAUCGGGCGGCCUGGUAAAACAGGCAGUGGGUCGACGGAGCUGCCCGCAGAUGUGUACCCCUGCCCGGAGUGCAACAAGUAUUUCCAGAAUAAGAACCAGCGUUGGAAACACGUGCAGCGGCAUCACCGGGAGGGCUACAAGUGCGCCACCUGCGGCAAGAAGUUCGCCUUCAAGAAUAACCUCGCCAGGCACGAACAGGUCCACCUGGCGCCGCCUCCCCGCCAGCAGUGCCCCUCCUGCAACAAACUGGUCCGCGUCGACCUUCUGAAGAUCCACGCGAGGAUCCACCAGAAGCGAGAGCAGUUCGAGUGUAUCGAAUGUGCUAAGAGUUUCGUCAGCCGAGCGUCGUACGAGCACCACCUCAAGUACACUCAGGCGCACGCCAAUAAGGACAUACUCAAAUACAAGUGCAGUGUGUGCGAGAAGGGCUACCGGUCCCGCGGCGAGCUGCGCGACCACGUCAACUACCGCCACGCCGGCCAGACGCAGCACGAGUGCCCUGUCUGCGGCAAGGCGCUGGCAACGCGCAGGUGCAUCACGCGGCACGUCCGGCGCGCGCACCACGGCCUCAAGGAAGGACCCCGCGACAAGAUCUGCCAGCAGUGCGGGAAGGCCUUCAGGGUGAGUGUGUGACAACAGCUCGUGGCCCCGCGGCAACACGCACGUGACACCACGGCCUCAAGGAAGGACCCCGCGACAAGAUCUGCCAGCAGUGCGGGAAGGCCUUCAGGGUGAGUGUGUGACAACAGCUCGUGGCCCCGCGGCAACACGCACGUGACACCACGGCCUCAAGGAAGGACCCCGCGACAAGAUCUGCCAGCAGUGCGGGAAGGCCUUCAGGGUGAGUGUGUGACAACAGCUCGUGGCCCCGCGGCAACACGCACGUGACACCACGGCCUCAAGGAAGGACCCCGCGACAAGAUCUGCCAGCAGUGCGGGAAGGCCUUCAGGGUGAGUGUGUGACAACAGCUCGUGGCCCCGCGGCAACACGCACGUGACACCACGGCCUCAAGGAAGGACCCCGCGACAAGAUCUGCCAGCAGUGCGGGAAGGCCUUCAGGGUGAGUGUGUGACAACAGCUCGUGGCCCCGCGGCAACACGCACGUGACACCACGGCCUCAAGGAAGGACCCCGCGACAAGAUCUGCCAGCAGUGCGGGAAGGCCUUCAGGGUGAGUGUGUGACAACAGCUCGUGGCCCCGCGGCAACACGCACGUGACACCACGGCCUCAAGGAAGGACCCCGCGACAAGAUCUGCCAGCAGUGCGGGAAGGCCUUCAGGGUGAGUGUGUGACAACAGCUCGUGGCCCCGCGGCAACACGCACGUGACACCACGGCCUCAAGGAAGGACCCCGCGACAAGAUCUGCCAGCAGUGCGGGAAGGCCUUCAGGGUGAGUGUGUGACAACAGCUCGUGGCCCCGCGGCAACACGCACGUGACACCACGGCCUCAAGGAAGGACCCCGCGACAAGAUCUGCCAGCAGUGCGGGAAGGCCUUCAGGGUGAGUGUGUGACAACAGCUCGUGGCCCCGCGGCAACACGCACGUGACACCACGGCCUCAAGGAAGGACCCCGCGACAAGAUCUGCCAGCAGUGCGGGAAGGCCUUCAGGGUGAGUGUGUGACAACAGCUCGUGGCCCCGCGGCAACACGCACGUGACACCACGGCCUCAAGGAAGGACCCCGCGACAAGAUCUGCCAGCAGUGCGGGAAGGCCUUCAGGGUGAGUGUGUGACAACAGCUCGUGGCCCCGCGGCAACACGCACGUGACACCACGGCCUCAAGGAAGGACCCCGCGACAAGAUCUGCCAGCAGUGCGGGAAGGCCUUCAGGGUGAGUGUGUGACAACAGCUCGUGGCCCCGCGGCAACACGCACGUGACACCACGGCCUCAAGGAAGGACCCCGCGACAAGAUCUGCCAGCAGUGCGGGAAGGCCUUCAGGGUGAGUGUGUGACAACAGCUCGUGGCCCCGCGGCAACACGCACGUGACACCACGGCCUCAAGGAAGGACCCCGCGACAAGAUCUGCCAGCAGUGCGGGAAGGCCUUCAGGGUGAGUGUGUGACAACAGCUCGUGGCCCCGCGGCAACACGCACGUGACACCACGGCCUCAAGGAAGGACCCCGCGACAAGAUCUGCCAGCAGUGCGGGAAGGCCUUCAGGGAUAAAAAAGGCCUCCGCGAGCACGAGUUCAUCCACACGGGCGAGCGGCCGCUGUCCUGCGAGCUGUGUGGAUGCACCUUCCGGCAGAGCGCCUCGCUCUACACGCACAAGAAGAGGGUGCACAAGAUAUGCCCUCCCAGG
This is an RNA transcript of Cydia pomonella (codling moth), 4206 nucleotides long. It is a transcript of the gene named zinc finger protein 431-like, with no coding region annotated. The record is from RefSeq and is a predicted model, not a curated record. NCBI's taxonomy places the organism in Eukaryota, Metazoa, Arthropoda, Insecta, Lepidoptera, Tortricidae. The transcript is spliced from 11 exons.